GACGAACGCUGGCGGCGUGCUUAACACAUGCAAGUCGAACGGAAAGGCCCUGCUUGCAGGGUACUCGAGUGGCGAACGGGUGAGUAACACGUGGGUGAUCUGCCCUUCACUUCGGGAUAAGCCUGGGAAACUGGGUCUAAUACCGGAUAGGAGCCAUUUUUAGUGUGAUGGUUGGAAAGUUUUUUCGGUGUAGGAUGAGCUCGCGGCCUAUCAGCUUGUUGGUGGGGUAAUGGCCUACCAAGGCGGCGACGGGUAGCCGGCCUGAGAGGGUGGACGGCCACAUUGGGACUGAGAUACGGCCCAGACUCCUACGGGAGGCAGCGGUGGGGAAUAUUGCACAAUGGGCGCAAGCCUGAUGCAGCGACGCCGCGUGGGGGAUGACGGCCUUCGGGUUGUAAACUCCUUUCGCUAGGGACGAAGCUUUUUGUGACGGUACCUAGAUAAGAAGCACCGGCUAACUACGUG
Molecule: ribosomal RNA, 465 nt
Filed under: uncultured bacterium
Lineage: Bacteria
Description: partial 16S ribosomal RNA
Rfam family: Bacterial small subunit ribosomal RNA
Source: RNAcentral